GUUGUAUGGUUAAGUGACUAAGCGUACACGGUGGAUGCCUUGGCAGUCAGAGGCGAUGAAAGACGUAGUAACUUGCGAUAAGCCCAGAUUAGGUAGUAACAACCAUUUGAGUCUGGGAUUUCUGAAUGGGGAAACCCACGUGCAUAAGCACGUAUCGUUAUGUGAAUACAUAGCAUAACGAGGCGAACCGGGGGAACUGAAACAUCUAAGUACCCCGAGGAAAAGAAAUCAACCGAGAUUCCGAAAGUAGCGGCGAGCGAAAUUGGACUAGCCCUUAAGCUUUACACGCGUUAGACGAACGGUCUGGAAAGUCCGACGAUACAGGGUGAUAGUCCCGUAGUUGACGACGUGUGUUCAGUGAAAUCGAGUAGGGCGGGACACGUGAUAUCCUGUCUGAAUAUGGGGGGACCAUCCUCCAAGGCUAAAUACUACUGACUGACCGAUAGUGAACCAGUACCGUGAGGGAAAGGCGAAAAGAACCCCUGUGAGGGGAGUGAAAUAGAACCUGAAACCGUGUACGUACAAGCAGUAGGAGCAGGCUUUGUCCUGUGACUGCGUACCUUUUGUAUAAUGGGUCAGCGACUUAUAUUCAGUGGCAAGGUUAACCAUCUAGGGGAGCCGUAGGGAAACCGAGUCUUAACUGGGCGUUCAGUCUCUGGAUAUAGACCCGAAACCAGGUGAUCUAGCCAUGGGCAGGUUGAAGGUUGAGUAACAUCAACUGGAGGACCGAACCGACUAAUGUUGAAAAAUUAGCGGAUGACUUGUGGCUAGGGGUGAAAGGCCAAUCAAACCUGGAGAUAGCUGGUUCUCCCCGAAAGCUAUUUAGGUAGCGCCUCGGACGAAUACUACUGGGGGUAGAGCACUGUUAAGGCUAGGGGGUCAUCCCGACUUACCAACCCUUUGCAAACUCCGAAUACCAGUAAGUACUAUCCGGGAGACACACGGCGGGUGCUAACGUCCGUCGUGGAGAGGGAAACAACCCAGACCGCCAGCUAAGGUCCCAAAUUACUACUAAGUGGGAAACGAUGUGGGAAGGCUCAGACAGCCAGGAUGUUGGCUUAGAAGCAGCCAUCAUUUAAAGAAAGCGUAAUAGCUCACUGGUCGAGUCGGCCUGCGCGGAAGAUGUAACGGGGCUAAGUAGUAAACCGAAGCUGCGGCAAUGUGCUUUUGCACAUUGGGUAGGGGAGCGUUCUGUAAGCGGUUGAAGGUGUGUGGUAACGCAUGCUGGACGUAUCAGAAGUGCGAAUGCUGACAUGAGUAACGAUAAAGGGGGUGAAAAACCUCCUCGCCGGAAGACCAAGGGUUCCUGUCCAACGUUAAUCGGGGCAGGGUAAGUCGACCCCUAAGGCGAGGCCGAAAGGCGUAGUCGAUGGGAAACGGGUUAAUAUUCCCGUACUUCUUACAAUUGCGAUGGGGGGACGGAGAAGGCUAGGUGGGCCUGGCGACGGUUGUCCAGGUUCAAGUGCGUAGGCUUAAGAGUUAGGUAAAUCCGGCUCUUUUUAAGGCUGAGACACGACGUCGAGCACCUACGGGUGUGAAGUCAUUGAUGCCAUGCUUCCAGGAAAAGCCUCUAAGCUUCAGAUUGUAAGGAAUCGUACCCCAAACCGACACAGGUGGUCGGGUAGAGAAUACCAAGGCGCUUGAGAGAACUCGGGUGAAGGAACUAGGCAAAAUGGUACCGUAA
This 1684-nucleotide ribosomal RNA is filed under the name Vibrio parahaemolyticus. RNAcentral's name for it is "partial 23S ribosomal RNA". It matches the Rfam family "Bacterial large subunit ribosomal RNA", at positions 1 to 1733 of the family's 2925-position model. The record is from RNAcentral. Lineage: Bacteria; Pseudomonadati; Pseudomonadota; Gammaproteobacteria; Vibrionales; Vibrionaceae.